AUCGAUGGCCAGACGGCCGCCGGGUCCGUCUUCGGGCGGGCCGGGAGGAAAGUCCGGGCUCCAUAGGGCGCGGUGCUGGGCAAUACCCAGCGGGGGCGACCCCGGGCAAGCGCAACAGAAAGCAGACCGCCGCUUUGGGCCUUAGGGCCGAAAGAGGCAAGGGUGAAACGGCGAGGUAAGAGCUCACCGGCCGGCUGGGCGACCAGCCGGGCCAGGCAAGCCCCACCGGGAGCAAGACCAAGUAGGGGGAUAGGGCGGCCCGUCCAGUCCCCGGGUUGGUCGCUUGAGCGCGCGGAGCAAUCCGCCGCCUAGAGGAAUGGUCGUCGCCGCGGGCCGAAAGCCCUGGGCUUUCGGCCAGCGGCACAGAACCCGGCUUAUCGGCCGCUAUCA
RNAcentral lists this RNase P RNA (390 nucleotides) under Deltaproteobacteria bacterium. Its description in RNAcentral is "RNase P RNA component class A". It matches the Rfam family "Bacterial RNase P class A". From Rfam's summary of the family: Ribonuclease P (RNase P) is a ubiquitous endoribonuclease, found in archaea, bacteria and eukarya as well as chloroplasts and mitochondria. Lineage: Bacteria; Pseudomonadati; Myxococcota; Myxococcia. The record is from RNAcentral.